This 253-nucleotide ribosomal RNA is filed under the name uncultured bacterium. Its description in RNAcentral is "partial 16S ribosomal RNA". It matches the Rfam family "Bacterial small subunit ribosomal RNA", at positions 524 to 776 of the family's 1533-position model. The record is from RNAcentral.
UACGUAGGGACCGAGCGUUGUCCGGAAUCAUUGGGCGUAAAGAGCGUGCAGGCGGCCACUUAAGUCCUGCGUGAAAUCUUGCGGCUCAACCGCAAGCGGUCGUGGGAAACUGGGUGGCUAGAGUGCGGGAGAGGAGAGUGGAAUUCCUGGUGUAGCGGUGGAAUGCGCAGAUAUCAGGAGGAACACCGGUGGCGAAGGCGGGUCUCUGGGCCGUAACUGACGCUGAGGAGCGAAAGCGUGGGGAGCGAACAGG